RNAcentral lists this ribosomal RNA (693 nucleotides) under Streptomyces carpaticus. RNAcentral describes it as "bacterial SSU rRNA". It matches the Rfam family "Bacterial small subunit ribosomal RNA", at positions 57 to 765 of the family's 1533-position model. The record is from RNAcentral. Lineage: Bacteria; Bacillati; Actinomycetota; Actinomycetes; Kitasatosporales; Streptomycetaceae.
GCAGUCGAACGAUGAACCGGUUGCGGCCGGGGAUUAGUGGCGAACGGGUGAGUAACACGUGCGCAAUCUGCCCUGCACUCUGGGAUAAGCCCGGGAAACUGGGUCUAAUACCGGAUACGACACUCCAAGGCAUCUUGGAGUGUGGAAAGUUCCGGCGGUGCAGGAUGAGCCCGCGGCCUAUCAGCUUGUUGGUGGGGUAAUGGCCUACCAAGGCGACGACGGGUAGCCGGCCUGUGAGGGUGACCGGCCACACUGGGACUGAGACACGGCCCAGACUCCUACGGGAGGCAGCAGUGGGGAAUAUUGCACAAUGGGCGAAAGCCUGAUGCAGCGACGCCGCGUGAGGGAUGACGGCCUUCGGGUUGUAAACCUCUUUCAGCAGGGAAGAAGCGAAAGUGACGGCACCUGCAGAUGAAGCACCGGCUAACUACGUGCCAGCAGCCGCGGUAAUACGUAGGGUGCGAGCGUUGUCCGGAAUUAUUGGGCGUAAAGAGCUCGUAGGCGGUUUGUCGCGUCCAUUGUGAAAGCCCGGGGCUUAACCCUGGGUCUGCAGUCGAUACGGGCAGGCUAGAGUUCGGCAGGGGAGACUGGAAUUCCUGGUGUAGCGGUGAAAUGCGCAGAUAUCAGGAGGAACACCGGUGGCGAAGGCGGGGUCUCUGGGCCGAUACUGACGCUGAGGAGCGAAAGCGUGGG